RNAcentral lists this transfer RNA (537 nucleotides) under uncultured cyanobacterium. RNAcentral describes it as "partial miscellaneous RNA". The stretch from base 211 to 283 matches the Rfam family "tRNA". The record is from RNAcentral. Lineage: Bacteria; Bacillati; Cyanobacteriota.
CAGGGAGACAACAAAAUGUUAAAUAUUAAUUUUGUCACCUUAGGUCGAUCGGUAUCUCGCAUUCUUAUUUAAUUAAGGAUUUCAUUCCCUAAGUUUUUUCUAGGUCACACCCAUUACUUUUCCUGGGCCAUUAGCUCAGGUGGUUAGAGCGCACCCCUGAUAAGGGUGAGGUCCCUGGUUCAAGUCCAGGAUGGCCCAUAUCUCUAUGUUGGGGGUAUAGCUCAGUUGGUAGAGCGCCUGCUUUGCAAGCAGGAUGUCAGCGGUUCGAGUCCGCUUACCUCCACUGAUCACCACCUCUUACAUAUUUUUAAGGGGAAGGUUUUGAGUUGUGAUCAAAUUCUGAACGAAUCUAGCUUCCUAAUAAAAACUAUUAAGAUGCUGGACUCAUUGAAUUAAUUUCAUUGUUUUCAGAGAACCUUGACAACUGCAUAGAUUAUUUUAAAGACAAUAAGCAUCUUUAAUGAUGCAGAUUUGUUAUUUGUGCGAAUGCAUUAAAUAACAAUUCUAUUAAGCUGAUGCUUCAAUUUUGAAGUUAUU